This 519-nucleotide ribosomal RNA is filed under the name uncultured eukaryote. Its description in RNAcentral is "SSU rRNA". It matches the Rfam family "Eukaryotic small subunit ribosomal RNA", at positions 1161 to 1704 of the family's 1831-position model. The record is from RNAcentral.
AGGGCACCACCAGGAGUGGAGCCUGCGGCUUAAUUUGACUCAACACGGGGAAACUCACCCGGCCCGGACACCGGAAGGAUUGACAGAUUGAUAGCUCUUUCCUGAUUCGGUGGAUGGUGGUGCAUGGCCGUUCUUAGUUGGUGGAGCGAUCUGUCUGGUUAAUUCCGAUAACGAACGAGACUCUAGCCUAUUAAAUAGACGUCGGGUUCUCUGCACUCGACGGUCUUCUUAGAGGGACAAGGUGCUUUUAGCACCGCGAAACAGAGCAAUAACAGGUCUGUGAUGCCCUUAGAUGUCCGGGGCCGCACGCGCGCUACACUGAAGGAAGCAGCGUGUAACAACCUUGUUCUAACGAACUGGGUAACCCGUGGAACUUCCUUCAUGAUUGGGAUAGGGGUUUGCAAUUGUGCCCCUUGAACGAGGAAUUCCCAGUAAACACUAGUCAUCAGCUAGUGCUGAUUACGUCCCUGCCCUUUGUACACACCGCCCGUCGCUACUACCGAUUGAAUGGUUUAGUGA